Molecule: unclassified non-coding RNA, 149 nt
Organism: Callithrix jacchus (white-tufted-ear marmoset)
Lineage: Eukaryota; Metazoa; Chordata; Mammalia; Primates; Cebidae
Rfam family: Metazoan signal recognition particle RNA
About the family: The signal recognition particle (SRP) is a universally conserved ribonucleoprotein. It is involved in the co-translational targeting of proteins to membranes.
Source: Ensembl
GCUGGGCACGGUGGCGCGUGCCUGUAAUCCCAGCUACUCAGGAGGCUGAGGCAGGAGAAUUGCCUGAACCCAGGAGGCUGAGGCUGCAGUGAGCUGAGAUCACGCCAUUGCACUCCAGCCUGGGUAACAAGAGCGAAACUCUGUCUCAA